UGAGGAAUAUUGGUCAAUGGGCGAGAGCCUGAACCAGCCAAGUCGCGUGAAGGAAGACUGCCUUAUGGGUUGUAAACUUCUUUUAUACAGGAAUAAAAAGGCUUACGUGUAGGCCAUUGCAAGUACUGUAUGAAUAAGCAUCGGCUAACUCCGUGCCAGCAGCCGCGGUAAUACGGAGGAUGCGAGCGUUAUCCGGAUUUAUUGGGUUUAAAGGGUGCGCAGGCGGGCUUUUAAGUCAGCGGUGAAAUCUGGACGCUUAACGUCCAAACUGCCGUUGAAACUGGGAGUCUUGAGUAUGGAUGAAGUAGGCGGAAUUCGUUGUGUAGCGGUGACAUGCAUAGAUAUAACGAGGAACUCCGAUUGCGUAGGCAGCUUACUAAGCCAUAACUGACGCUCAUGUACGAAAGCGUGGGGAUCAAACAGGAUUAGAUACCCUGGUAGUCCACGCCCUAAACGAUGUCAACUAGUUGUUGGGGAUUCAUUUCCUUAGUAACGUAGCUAACGCGUGAAGUUGACCGCCUGGGGAGUACGGUCGCAAGAUUAAAACUC
This 549-nucleotide ribosomal RNA is filed under the name uncultured bacterium. RNAcentral describes it as "partial 16S ribosomal RNA". It matches the Rfam family "Bacterial small subunit ribosomal RNA", at positions 355 to 902 of the family's 1533-position model. The record is from RNAcentral.